UUCCCACAGAAUUAUGCUAGAAAAAGCAAAGUAAUAUGGCUUUUCUCUUCCUUUUACUUCAACAUUCCACCAUCUUAGGAUUGUUCCCCUUAGAAUCAGAUUGUGAAUAUGAAUACCUGUAAAAGAAGAAAAAUAGGACCAAGUCCUGUUAGAUUGAAAAAAAUUACUGAAGACAUGAGCUAUUGUCUCCACUUUCGGGGCAUUAGAACACCAGCACUUAGAUGGCCCCUGUAUCCCCCAUCUCAUAACAGUAUCAUCCACAGGAAUUCUUCUUCUCCACAGCCUCCAAAUGAAGAAACUAAUCUCAAAAGGUACAC
RNAcentral lists this long non-coding RNA (317 nucleotides) under Capsicum annuum. RNAcentral describes it as "long non-coding RNA (CANN_LNC017546)". Lineage: Eukaryota; Viridiplantae; Streptophyta; Magnoliopsida; Solanales; Solanaceae. The record is from RNAcentral.